RNAcentral lists this ribosomal RNA (468 nucleotides) under uncultured bacterium. RNAcentral's name for it is "partial 16S ribosomal RNA". It matches the Rfam family "Bacterial small subunit ribosomal RNA", at positions 28 to 507 of the family's 1533-position model. The record is from RNAcentral.
GACGAACGCUGGCGGCGUGCUUAACACAUGCAAGUCGAACGGAAAGGCCCUGCUUUUGUGGGGUGCUCGAGUGGCGAACGGGUGAGUAACACGUGAGUAACCUGCCCUUGACUUUGGGAUAACUUCAGGAAACUGGGGCUAAUACCGGAUAGGAGCUCCUGCUGCAUGGUGGGGGUUGGAAAGUUUUGGCGGUUGGGGAUGGACUCGCGGCUUAUCAGCUUGUUGGUGGGGUAGUGGCUUACCAAGGCUUUGACGGGUAGCCGGCCUGAGAGGGUGACCGGCCACAUUGGGACUGAGAUACGGCCCAGACUCCUACGGGAGGCAGCAGUGGGGAAUAUUGCACAAUGGGCGGAAGCCUGAUGCAGCAACGCCGCGUGCGGGAUGACGGCCUUCAGGUUGUAAACCGCUUUCGCCUGUGACGAAGCGUGAGUGACGGUAAUGGGUAAAGAAGCACCGGCUAACUACGUG